RNAcentral lists this ribosomal RNA (460 nucleotides) under uncultured bacterium. RNAcentral describes it as "partial 16S ribosomal RNA". It matches the Rfam family "Bacterial small subunit ribosomal RNA", at positions 338 to 795 of the family's 1533-position model. The record is from RNAcentral.
CCUACGGGGGGCAGCAGUGAGGAAUAUUGGUCAAUGGGCGCGAGCCUGAACCAGCCAAGUCGCGUGAGGGAGGACGGCCCUACGGGUUGUAAACCUCUUUUGCCGGGGAGCAACGGGCGCCACGUGUGGCGUCACUGAGAGUACCCGGAGAAAAAGCAUCGGCUAACUCCGUGCCAGCAGCCGCGGUAAUACGGAGGAUGCGGGCGUUAUCCGGUUUUAUGGGGGUAAAGGGGUGCGUAGGCGGAUCGUUACGUCAGUGGUCAAAUUGAGGGGCUCAACCCCUUCCCGCCAUUGAAACUGGCGUUCUUGAGUGGAAGAGAAGUAUGCGGAAUGCGUGGUGUAGCGGUGAAAUGCAUAGAUAUCACGCAGAACCCCGAUUGCGAAGGCAGCAUGCCGGCUUCCGACUGACGCUGAAGCACGAAAGCGUGGGGAUCGAACAGGAUUAGAUACCCGUGUAGUC